This 357-nucleotide long non-coding RNA is filed under the name Brassica napus (rape). RNAcentral describes it as "long non-coding RNA (BNAP_LNC013358)". The record is from RNAcentral. Lineage: Eukaryota; Viridiplantae; Streptophyta; Magnoliopsida; Brassicales; Brassicaceae.
GGGAGGAAGUUGGUUGCGAAGAAGUUUCUGAUGGCUGAGACUGCGACACGCGAUUUCUGUCUGAAGAACAUCUCCUCUAUUUCUCGCAGAAAAUUCUAUUUUUGAUGGAGGUCUCUUUUAGCUUGGAAUGUAGUGGGAUUGGGAUCUUGAAGAGCUUGUACCUGCGCAAUUUGCAACAAACUGUUAGUCUCACUAACUCUCUCUUGAAUUUUGGAAUAGUUGUCUUUAUUUAGAAGUUUAAGAUCACUCUUAGAUUAGUUUAAGCUUCCAGCACAGCUGUGAGAGAGUUUGGCAAGUGUUUCCAGCGUGAAUCCAUGCAUCUUUAAGUAGCUCAGCAAACCCAGGGUGUUUAGUGAG